CCUACGGGAGGCAGCAGUGGGGAAUAUUGGGCAAUGGACGCAAGCCUGACCCAGCAACGCCGCGUGAAGGAAGAAGGCUUUCGGGUUGUAAACUUCUUUUAAGGGGGAAGAGCAGAAGACGGUACCCCUUGAAUAAGCCACGGCUAACUACGUGCCAGCAGCCGCGGUAAUACGUAGGUGGAAAGCGUUGUCCGGAUUUACUGGGUGUAAAGGGCGGGCAGCCGGGGAGACAAGUCAGAGGUGAAAUCCACGGGCUCAACCCGUGAACUGCAUUUGAAACUGUCUGCCUUGAGUGUCGGAGAGGUAAUCGGAAUUCCUGGUGUAGCGGUGAAAUGCGUAGAUAUUAGGAAGAACACCAGUGGCGAAGGCGGAUUACUGGACGAUAACUGACGGUGAGGCGCGAAAGCGUGGGGAGCAAACAGGAUUAGAUACCCGAGUAGUC
RNAcentral lists this ribosomal RNA (442 nucleotides) under uncultured bacterium. Its description in RNAcentral is "partial 16S ribosomal RNA". It matches the Rfam family "Bacterial small subunit ribosomal RNA", at positions 338 to 795 of the family's 1533-position model. The record is from RNAcentral.